AGGGGUCUAGCUCAGUGGUAGAGUGUUUGCUUAGCAUGCACGAGGUCCUGGGUUCAAGGCCUAGUACUUCCA
RNAcentral lists this transfer RNA (72 nucleotides) under Camelus bactrianus (Bactrian camel). It matches the Rfam family "tRNA". Rfam says of the family: Transfer RNA (tRNA) molecules are approximately 80 nucleotides in length. RNAcentral also lists the same sequence under 2 other names. Lineage: Eukaryota; Metazoa; Chordata; Mammalia; Artiodactyla; Camelidae. The record is from Rfam by way of RNAcentral.